UCGAUUAAUCUGACACAAGGUCGGGAUGUGUUUCACUGGAAACUCACAACAUCAGGGUCUUACACAGUAGACUCGAUGUACCGUGCGCUUAUGCAUUCUGAGGUGCCAGUGAAUAAUAACAAGAAAAUUUGGAAGUCAAAGAUUCCACUAAAAGUUAAAAUCUUUAUGUGGUAUCUUCGUAAGGGAGUUGUGCUAACCAAAGACAAUCUUGCACGACACAACUGGCCAGGAAGUAAGAAGUGUUGCUUUUAUGCUCAUGACGAGACAAUCAAAUACCUCUUUUUCCAAUGCAAGUUUGCACGUUCUACAUGGUCAGUCAUCCAAAUAGCGUCAAAUUUGUAUCCGCCAACGAGUAUUGCUAAUAUAUUUGGUCAUUGGUUGGAUGGAAUUUCAAAUAGUUUCAAAACACUAAUAAGGAUGGGGGGGUAUGCCUUACUAUGGUCGCUUUGGCUAUGUAUAAACGAUUUGAUUUUUAAUGACAAAAAUGCUUCUCUCUGCAGGUUAUUUUUCGUUGUACGCACUCGCUUCAUACGUGGUCUAUGCUACAACAGGCGGAGCACCAAUCGCUGUUCAAGGCGGUGUGUACGCGGUUGGAGCAGGCGGCUAUGGAGGUUUUUUCCCAACAUGGGUGGCAGCAUAACCUCCGGAUCGAUCCACCGCCGAGUUCGACAUAGGCAAAGUGUUGGUCCAUAG
Molecule: ribosomal RNA, 693 nt
Filed under: Triticum aestivum (bread wheat)
Lineage: Eukaryota; Viridiplantae; Streptophyta; Magnoliopsida; Poales; Poaceae
Description: partial small subunit ribosomal RNA
Source: RNAcentral